UUUGAAGAUCAUCCAUCUUUUUCUUAUUUCUUCUAAUCUUGCUGGAAUGUUUUGUGUUAAAGGAAAAUGGAGAGAAAUAGAUGAAUUUAAUGGAAAAAAGGGAUAGAAAAUAGUAGGAAAGAAUCUGAAUUCUCAAGAAUCCAGAUUAGAGUAUUUGGUAACCAAGAAAUUAGAGGGAAGUGAGGAAGAUUUAGAAGAAAGAGGGAG
RNAcentral lists this unclassified non-coding RNA (207 nucleotides) under Hevea brasiliensis (rubber tree). The record is from RNAcentral. Lineage: Eukaryota; Viridiplantae; Streptophyta; Magnoliopsida; Malpighiales; Euphorbiaceae.